UAGAGGAAGUAAAAGUCGUAACAAGGUCUCCGUUGGUGAACCAGCGGAGGGAUCAUUACAGAGUCGUAAAACACUCCCAAACCCAUGUGAACUUACCAUUGUUGCCUCGGCGGCACUACCCUGUAGCCAGCUACCCUGUAGCGACCUACCCUGUAGCCCGCCGGUGGACCAUUAAACUCUUGUUAUUCUAUGGAUAUCUGAGCGUCUUAUUUAAUAAGUUAAAACUUUCAACAACGGAUCUCUUGGUUCUGGCAUCGAUGAAGAACGCAGCGAAAUGCGAUACGUAAUGUGAAUUGCAGAAUUCAGUGAAUCAUCGAAUCUUUGAACGCACAUUGCGCCCAUUAGUAUUCUAUUGGGCAUGCCUGUUCGAGCGUCAUUUUGACCACUUAAGCCUGGCUUAGUGUUGGGAAUCUACGUCUGUAGUUCCUUAAAACCAGUGGCGGAGCCGCAGUGGCCUCUGAGCGUAGUAAUUUUUUCUCGCUUUGGAAGGUUCUGUAGUUUUUGCCAUAAAACCCCCAAUUUUUUAAGGUUGACCUCGGAUCAGGUAGGAAUACCCGCUGAACUUAAGCAUAUCA
Molecule: ribosomal RNA, 575 nt
Filed under: Cylindrium sp. 1 ICMP 18787
Lineage: Eukaryota; Fungi; Ascomycota; Sordariomycetes; Hypocreales; Cylindriaceae
Description: eukaryotic LSU rRNA
Rfam family: 5.8S ribosomal RNA (bases 223-376)
Source: RNAcentral